This 310-nucleotide ribosomal RNA is filed under the name Valsaceae sp. MUT 5271. Its description in RNAcentral is "5.8S ribosomal RNA". The stretch from base 1 to 154 matches the Rfam family "5.8S ribosomal RNA". Lineage: Eukaryota; Fungi; Ascomycota; Sordariomycetes; Diaporthales; Cytosporaceae. The record is from RNAcentral.
AACUUUCAACAACGGAUCUCUUGGUUCUGGCAUCGAUGAAGAACGCAGCGAAAUGCGAUAAGUAAUGUGAAUUGCAGAAUUCAGUGAAUCAUCGAAUCUUUGAACGCACAUUGCGCCCGGUGGUAUUCCACCGGGCAUGCCUGUUCGAGCGUCAUUUCAACCCUCAAAAGCUUGCUUUUGGUGUUGGAGGAAUACCUGUAAAAGGGUACCCUCUGAAAUUUAGUGGCGGGCUCGCUAGAAUUUUGAGCGUAGUAAUUUUACCUCGUUUUUAAAGACUAGUGGGACUUCUUGCCGUAAAACCCCCAACUUU